RNAcentral lists this long non-coding RNA (1237 nucleotides) under Citrus maxima (pomelo). RNAcentral's name for it is "long non-coding RNA (CMAX_LNC000339)". Lineage: Eukaryota; Viridiplantae; Streptophyta; Magnoliopsida; Sapindales; Rutaceae. The record is from RNAcentral.
AAAUAGACCACACAUAAAUGUAGUAUCAAGGCCGGACCCAGAACAAUGGGUAAGUUCUUAGCAAAUUAUUGAGCGCCCAUCUUUAGUAUUCCUAGCAAAGAGUGUAGAGCUAAAAACAAGCAAACAACACCUAAAACCAAACAAGAAAAAUUUAGGGUACCCAUAGAAAAAUAACACUUAAAAACCAAACCUCAAAAAAUCAACCACAAAAUAGAAAAAAUUAAAAAAUGGAAGGGUUACGCUUUUGACUAUGAAGAAUCUAAAAAGUUAGUGUUUACUUUAAAAGAACCACCCAGCAAUUCAUGUUUAGUGAGGAACAGUUCCAUAAGGAUCUCCACUGAAACUACAGCCAGAAGCAGUAACUUUGAGGUCAAAGGUUACUUCCCAGAUAAAGACUGCAUCAUUGUUGAUCCCAGUGGCAACAUUGUAGCUCAAGUAUACAAUCAACUCCAUGAUCUAAAAGCUGUAGACAUUGCUUUAUUUUUAUUCGUUUAAAAAGAAAGCAAAAGUAUGAUAAAGCUGCAGUGUUCGUUUUGCUUUUGAUCACUUAGUGAUGAUUCCGUUUAAAUAUGCAGAUUGGAGUGAAAAAAGAAAUAGAAGACUUGAUGGAAAGCAAGGAUCUGUAUCACAUAGUGGUGAAACCGGGGAUAGAUCAUGCCUUUAUUGUUGGAGUCAUUGCCACCCUCGACUACAUUUAUGGCGAAUCUACUAGGUGCUGAUCAAUAAGAAUUUUUACCAACUAAUGCCAUUGAAACUACGUAAAAUCAUGGGAAAAUUGCAUCCCCUUCUAAAUAUCUUUCUUCAAUUUCAUGCUUGAAUUAUAGUAUAUCAAUCAUAUCAGGAUUGAGGGUUUUCUUGCCAAUUUCAUGCUUCCAAGCCAUUAAUCAUCUCUUCAACAUCAAUUUUUCAUCAUCUAAAUAUCUUUUUUCACUCUAAAUUACCAAACUUCUAAUUGUUUCAAAUCUCUAAUUAUUUCACACAAAAUUUACAGUGCAUUACAAAAACCACAAAGGUCAAAAUUACCUCCUCACCUUGCCGUUAACUCACAAAAAGAAAAGGAAAGAGAGGAAACUGUGUUCAUCUUCAACACCUCAGGAUGACAGCGACCACUUCAUGGAUUCCACUUGUUAUUUGCUUUGAACGAGAUGGUGCCUUCGAUCUUGCGUGAUUACUAAACAAAUAAAAGAGAGAAAUUAGAGAGAAAUUUGUGAUUUCAAAGAGAGGUGUGACAGAUUGG